AUACGUAGGGAGCGAGCGUUGUCCGGAAUUACUGGGCGUAAAGGGCGCGCAGGCGGAUAUUUAAGUCAGCUGUAAAAGGCAUGAGCUCAACUCAUGUAUGCGGUUGAAACUGGGUAUCUAGAGUGCUGGAGAGGUAGGCGGAAUUCCCGGUGUAGCGGUGAAAUGCGUAGAUAUCGGGUAGAACACCAGUGGCGAAGGCGGUAUACUGGCCAGCAACUGACGCUGAGGCGCUAAAGCCAGGGGGGCGAACGGGAUGAGAGGCCCAGUGAGUCCGGGCCGUAAACGAUGAAUGAUAGGUGUGUGUGUCGAGAGGCAGCCGUUCCGGAGUUAACGCGAUAAGCAUUCCGCCUGGGGAGUACGAUCGCAAGAUUGAAACUCAAAGGAAUUGACGAGG
Molecule: ribosomal RNA, 394 nt
Filed under: uncultured bacterium
Lineage: Bacteria
Description: partial 16S ribosomal RNA
Rfam family: Bacterial small subunit ribosomal RNA
Source: RNAcentral